ACUCCUACGGGAGGCAGCAGUAGGGAAUCUUCCACAAUGGGCGCAAGCCUGAUGGAGCAACACCGCGUGAGUGAAGAAGGGUUUCGGCUCGUAAAGCUCUGUUGUUAAAGAAGAACACGUAUGAGAGCAACUGUUCAUACGUUGACGGUAUUUAACCAGAAAGUCACGGCUAACUACGUGCCAGCAGCCGCGGUAAUACGUAGGUGCAAGCGUUAUCCGGAUUUAUUGGGCGUAAAGAGAGUGCAGGCGGUUUUCUAAGUCUGAUGUGAAAGCCUUCGGCUUAACCGGAGAAGUGCAUCGGAAACUGGAUAACUUGAGUGCAGAAGAGGGUAGUGGAACUCCAUGUGUAGCGGUGGAAUGCGUAGAUAUAUGGAAGAACACCAGUGGCGAAGGCGGCUACCUGGUCUGCAACUGACGCUGAGACUCGAAAGCAUGGGUAGCGAACAGGAUUAGAUACCCUGGUAGGAUAGCG
RNAcentral lists this ribosomal RNA (472 nucleotides) under uncultured bacterium. Its description in RNAcentral is "bacterial SSU rRNA". It matches the Rfam family "Bacterial small subunit ribosomal RNA", at positions 335 to 801 of the family's 1533-position model. The record is from RNAcentral.